AUUUGGGAAUCCACGUUGUCAAAGAUAAUCCUAGAACGAGAACUGAUGCAGUAACUGGGCAUUCUUCAUCGCUGAUGGGGUAGCCAUGGAUAUCCCAGCGAAUGAAACGGCAUCCUUCUCAUCUCCCUCCUCCAAAUUUAUUUUAGGCUAUUUCAAUUCCACAAUGGGUUCAACUCCAAUUGGUUGACAUCGGCGAAACUCUUUCUCAGAGCCCCAGUUUUGUGUCUACUCGCAGCAGCAGCUAGCCUAAAAAAGUGGGAUCCUUCGUCAUUGCCUCGAGCUAACAGAGAUCGUGUAUGCCUGUGAUCCUCGAGCUAAAAGUGGGAUUCUUACAAUUCGUCUAGGAGAGGGAAACUUGAAGCUUGGCUCUGCAUAAAUAGCGGGUUGCAUGCCUGUGAUGCUGUAGUUACGAACUAGGUUCAAUUCCCCAUUAUGGCACUCGAUCGAUUAGUUGGUGAACAAGAACGAAAAGUUGGUGCCACACUACUUCUGGUUUUGGACGUUUCUCCUUGAUUAAAAUUCUGGAAAGGCAUCGUGGUGUCUCCACCGCCAAGCCCUGCUGUCAGCUUUCAGAGGUAAGCAUCGCAAAGAAAUAGUGGCCUACAGUUCUGCUCUCCUGGCUUUGUAUGGCUUGUUUUCUUGGAAGCAGUGGUGCAAGGCUUCCGCUGUGGUGGAAGAAGGAACACGAGGCAGAAUGGGAAUCUUUUUUGUGUGAUGGGUUUUGCUGAGGAAUGAAUGUGGCGUCUUAUGCAGGUGAAUAGCAUUGGAACUCGGCCGUUCAUGAACGACCCUAUGUUCCAACGCUGGAAACUGCAGCAGCCAAGUGUGUUAAGACUCAGGUCGUUCUUGAACGACCAUAUAUGUCUUAACGCAGGAGCAGAUCACCAUGAAGGUCCAUGUAUUUCUCGGUGGGUUGAGAGAGCUUCAACAAAAGAAGGAAGGUUGUUCAUGAACAGCCUAUCUUUUGUUGACAACAAGCUUUCUGGACGAUAUAUUUCCCUGCCAAAGAAGACGAGAAUAGCGUGAGUGUGUUGUAUACCUGAACUUCGUCUUUGGAGCUUGAAUUGCUGAUGGACCUGCUUCGGUUUUGGCAGAGCUUUAGCCGUUUGCUUGCUUAUUUCUUUUCUCUAUUCCCUCUGUGUAUUUCUCUUCAGCGUGCCCACUUUUAUAUAAUAGUGGUUGGAUAGCUGAUGCCUUGUAUUUGAAUUUGGAUAACAGCUCAACUUCAUCACUUGUUAUCUUUUGAAUUAAUCAAAUAUCUUGACCAAGACUUGAAUCAAGGCUAA
Rosa chinensis is the source of this 1286-nucleotide long non-coding RNA. RefSeq lists it as uncharacterized. The record is from RefSeq and is a predicted model, not a curated record. Lineage: Eukaryota; Viridiplantae; Streptophyta; Magnoliopsida; Rosales; Rosaceae. The transcript is spliced from 5 exons.